This 576-nucleotide ribosomal RNA is filed under the name uncultured bacterium. RNAcentral describes it as "bacterial SSU rRNA". It matches the Rfam family "Bacterial small subunit ribosomal RNA", at positions 338 to 916 of the family's 1533-position model. The record is from RNAcentral.
CCUACGGGAGGCAGCAUGAGGAAUAUUGGUCAAUGGACGGAAGUCUGAACCAGCCAAGUAGCGUGCAGGAUGACGGCCCUAUGGGUUGUAAACUGCUUUUGUAUGGGGAUAAAGUUAGGGACGUGUCCCUAUUUGCAGGUACCAUACGAAUAAGGACCGGCUAAUUCCGUGCCAGCAGCCGCGGUAAUACGGAAGGUCCAGGCGUUAUCCGGAUUUAUUGGGUUUAAAGGGAGCGUAGGCUGGAGAUUAAGUGUGUUGUGAAAUGUAGACGCUCAACGUCUGACUUGCGGCGCAUACUGGUUUCCUUGAGUACGCACAACGUUGGCGGAAUUCGUCGUGUAGCGGUGAAAUGCUUAGAUAUGACGAAGAACUCCGAUUGCGAAGGCAGCUGACGGGAGCGCAACUGACGCUUAAGCUCGAAGGUGCGGGUAUCAAACAGGAUUAGAUACCCUGGUAGUCCGCACAGUAAACGAUGGAUGCCCGCUGUUGGUACCUGGUAUCAGCGGCUAAGCGAAAGCAUUAAGCAUCCCACCUGGGGAGUACGCCGGCAACGGUGAAACUCAAAGGAAUUGACGG